UACGAAGGGGGCUAGCGUUGCUCGGAAUGACUGGGCGUAAAGGGUGCGUAGGCUGCAUCGUAAGUUAGAUGUGAAAUUCCUGGGCUUAACCUGGGGGCUGCAUUUGAGACUGCGAAGCUAGAGGAUGGAAGAGGCUUGUGGAAUUCCCAGUGUAGAGGUGAAAUUCGUAGAUAUUGGGAAGAACACCGGUGGCGAGGGCGGCAAGCUGGUCCAUUACUGACGCUGAGGCACGAUAGCGUGGGGAGCAAACAGG
This 253-nucleotide ribosomal RNA is filed under the name uncultured bacterium. RNAcentral describes it as "partial 16S ribosomal RNA". It matches the Rfam family "Bacterial small subunit ribosomal RNA", at positions 524 to 776 of the family's 1533-position model. The record is from RNAcentral.